Molecule: long non-coding RNA, 1366 nt
Filed under: Astyanax mexicanus (Mexican tetra)
Lineage: Eukaryota; Metazoa; Chordata; Actinopteri; Characiformes; Acestrorhamphidae
Description: lncRNA (ENSAMXG00005015632.1)
Source: RNAcentral
UUGGAUAAACUUUACAGAAGGUUGGUAGCUAAAGUUUUUAGAUUAGACAAACUUUACAGAAGGUUGGUAUCUACUGUUUGUAGAUUGGAUAAACUUUACAGAAGGUUGGUAUCUACUGUUUGUAGAUUGGACAAACUUUACAGAAGGUUGGAAGCAACUGGUUGUAGAGUGCAUCGUCUUUACAGAAGGUUGGUAUCUACUGUUUGUAGAAUGGACAAACUUUACAGAAGGCUGGUAGAUUCUGUUACUAUAGUGGACAAACUUUACAGAAGGUUGGUAUCUACUGUUUGUAGAUUGGAUAAAUUUUACAGAAGGUUGGUAUCUACUGUUUGUAAAUUGGGUAAACUUUACAGAAGUGGUUGGUAGGAUUGCUGCUAGGCUUAAAAAUUACAGAAGGCUGAUGAUUAUAGGCUGGACAAACUAUUGAUGCACCACAGUAACGAUUUAGAAUUAAACUCUGCAGGGAGGCAGAUCAUUUAAUUUACUGAAGAUCCAUCACCAGACUCAUCUGCACUGCUUCACUCAUGUGUUCUUUCAUAGCUACUACAAUAUGUUGGUAUAUAUUAUUCACUAGGUUAGAAAAACUUAACUUAAACAAAACAGCAUAUUGGUAGCUACUGUUGCUAUUUUACAGCACAUGGGCAGCUACAGUUCAGAGUUUAAACAAACUUUACAGACUGGAAUAGCUACUGUUUAGCAGUUGGAAAACUUUACAGUACAUUUGUAGACACUGUCAUUAGGUCCAACAAACUUGUGGCUGGUGUAGAUACAUUUUUUGGAUUGGACAAACUUUACAGUACAUAUGUACUUAAUGUUUACGAGGUUGGUCAAACUUUACAGAAUGUUGUUAGCUACUAGUUUUUAUCUUGGGCAAAUUUUAGAGAUAGGCAGUAGCUACUGUUGAGGGUUUGUCCAAACUUUACAGAAUGUUAGUAGCUACUGAAAGCUAGGUUAAUUAAACUUAACAGAACACUUGUAGCUUCUAGCUUCUAAAUUGGGCAAACUUUACAGAUUGGCAGUAGCUUCUGUUGAAGGUUUGGCCAAACUUUACUUUUUUUUUCAGAAUUAUGUAGCAAAUGUUUGCUAGGUUGUACAAAUAUAAAGACCAUUGGUUGCUACUGUUGAGGGUUAGGACAAUUCUACUUUAUUGGCAGUAGCUGGUUGUAGUUUGGAGAAACUUUACAGAACUUUACAGAUUGGGAGUAGCAAGUUGUAGUGUGAGGGACACACUUUACAGAACAUUGGUAGCUUUUAUUUGCUUGGUUGGGAUAAAUGUUCCAGGUCUUGAAGCUGAACUAAUUUUACAGAAUGUCUGUAGCCAAGAUUUACAGAAUAUUUGUAGAUUCUAAUUUCUAGAUUGGGUAAA